GACAGAAACUGGAAGCAUUGCCCAGAGAGGUAAUCAGAAGCACUAUGCUCCCAAGACUUUCCUUAACAGGUGCUCAUUUUCAUCCUGUUUUGAUGAAUGGCUACACCAGUGAAACCUGCUAUACUGAGAGGACAAAGAGCACAUAUACUUCUCUUCCCCAACCACUAUCUACCCCACCCUUUCCAUAAAGGAAUACAGGGAAAAGCUGGGUGUAUAAUCUGCUCAUGCUGAACUGAGCUGGGGAAAAGAACUAUGGCAAAUGUUUGCAAGCUCAUUCAAACCACAGACUUUUUCAAACUGUUGCUUUGAUCUCUGUAGCCUCCAUGGGCCUAAUGGAUGCUGAUCUCCAUUAGUUCUCAUAGACACGUCAGUUGAAAGCUAGUUCCUCAGGUAGCAGCUGGAAAAGUUAAGGGGAUAGAUAUGUAGAUAAAUUCCUUCCAGACUGAAGCUAGAGGCUUGCUUUUAUCAUUAGAGUGAGCAAGUGGGAGAAUUUGUGGAAAUAUCCACAUGCCUGUUUAAAAUGGCUGCUUUGUUUUCUAUAGCCCACAUGUAAAUAGUGAAUGGCAACACCAAUAGCUCUCAUAGACAGUGAGUUAGAAGCCAGACCUCAGGUAGGAGCUAGAAAACUUAGAAUGCUUGAUUUGUAGUCUAACUUCUUUCAUAGAGAAUCUGGGAACUGGGCUUUGUUGUUGUAGCUAGUUGGUGAAUGAGGAGGUGAAGUGGAGGAGAUAUGGGAAGAACCCAUUUGUUUGGGCAUUUUUUCUCAAUGUACCUUAGUUUGUCUGUAGUAGCUGGCCACAGUAGUGAUGAUUCUAUUUCCUGAGAGGUGAGAAUUGCUGCCAAAGAAUGUCUGCCAUGGAUGAGAAUACAAAGAAAGGAAACUAAGAACUCUCAAAGCAGCUACUAGAAACCCUUCAUAGAGGACAAGAAUUAUCUUCAGUUUUGAGAUAUAUGAGAAUGAUUACAACUCCUUUGAGCAGGCUUCACAUACUGCCCAAAGAUGCUUCUCUAGUUUGUGUCCUUCUUGCUAUCAGAAAGAGAGAAGGAAACUAAAUAAAACAAAAUAAAAAUUUUAGAAUUUUGUGCUGUCUUGGACAUGGAAGCAAUGGGUCAGGAUCAAGAUUGUGGAAAGAUGCCAGUUCGGAUGCAGGCUAGAAAAAUUAGUAUUGUCCUCAACUGGAAUCAGCAACCAAAAGACUAAGUGUAUGUGUCUCUGUAGGCUGAAGGGUUUUCAGAUAUCAUAAAAGAUAAGAAGUCAAGCUACACUUGUUUGGAAGCAUGUGGCAGAGAACACAGAUUAAUUGUUUAAAGGAUGGCCCAAACUUAAGGCCAAGUCACAUCAAACCCAUCAGAAACCAAAAGUGUGGCAGAAUUCCUAACAGAAGGAUGAGAGAGGAAGAGCCUUAUAUAGAUCUGUCUUCUGUUUCACAUUCUGACUAUUCUAAAGCUUUUAAUGAAGAAUUCCCUAGAGUCAUAAAACAAAGGCUAAAUGGUUUAAUCUAACUUAAAAAAAAUGUUAAAUAAAAGACAAUGAAAUUGAAGACCCCUCCUGGAGAAACUAGUGAGGAUACUAAUAUAGACUCUACCUCCUCAAAAACCUAACUUCAAAGAGAUUUUAAAGAAGUCAUCAAUUCUCUCACAUGGCAGACUGGGAUAACAUCUGUUAAUAGAGACUUAAAAAAAGACAAAUAAGAACAUCUAGGCCAGGAGCGGUGGCUCACGCCUGAAAUCCCAGUACUUUGGGAGGCUGAGGCGGGCGGAUCACGAGGUCAGGAGAUCGAGACCAUCCUAGUUAACACGUUCUGUUGCUUUCCAGGAUAUACACAUGGCUUUAACAGAGUCUAUUACUGGAAUACGGAGAAGCUAUUGAAGUAAUCCUUCAAGGCAUAAGGUCAGAACUUAGAGAAGUCACAGAGUUUGUAUUUCUGAACCUGAUUACCAGAAAAUUCUUCUAAAGCAGGAAAAGAUAUAUGCUUUCAAACUGUUAUCCUACAACCAAAUCCAUUUUGGAGACACAAGGAUCCACAAGAUUACUCACCUUCAGGAAAACAUGAAGACAAGAAAUGCUAGUCUUGGUACAACCUAAUGAAAAGACAUAGCUGAGAUUUCAUAUGAAGAUAACAUUGAGAUUGCUUAGAAAAAAAUUAUUGGAGUUAACAUUGAAAGUAACAAUGGUAUUUCUUGUCAUCCCUUUCUAAAUGGCAUAUAUGGUAUGUAAUCUAGAAAUAUGUACAUAUACAUGUAAUAGCUUACAAAGCUUCCAAUAAAAAAGACAAAAUCUCUGGAUUUUGCCAUCUAACAAAAAAAAAAAAAAAA
RNAcentral lists this long non-coding RNA (2316 nucleotides) under Homo sapiens (human). RNAcentral's name for it is "uncharacterized LOC105378311 (LOC105378311)". Lineage: Eukaryota; Metazoa; Chordata; Mammalia; Primates; Hominidae. The record is from RNAcentral.